UACGUCUUCCCUUGUGGCUGGUGUACAGGUGGUGCAUGGUUGUCGUCAGCUCGUGUCGUGAGAUGUUGGGUUAAGUCCCGCAACGAGCGCAACCCUUGUCUUAUGUUGCCAGCACGUGAUGGUGGGGACUCAUGAGAGACUGCCGGGGUCAACUCGGAGGAAGAAUGUGGGGAUGACGUCAAAUCAUCAUGCCCCUUAUGUCCAGGGCUUCACACAUGCUAC
Molecule: ribosomal RNA, 222 nt
Filed under: uncultured Actinomycetes bacterium
Lineage: Bacteria; Bacillati; Actinomycetota; Actinomycetes
Description: uncultured actinobacterium partial 16S ribosomal RNA
Rfam family: Bacterial small subunit ribosomal RNA
Source: RNAcentral